RNAcentral lists this ribosomal RNA (253 nucleotides) under uncultured bacterium. RNAcentral describes it as "partial 16S ribosomal RNA". It matches the Rfam family "Bacterial small subunit ribosomal RNA", at positions 524 to 776 of the family's 1533-position model. The record is from RNAcentral.
UACGUAGGGUGCGAGCGUUAAUCGGAAUUACUGGGCGUAAAGCGUGCGCAGGCGGUUCGUUGUGUCGGCGGUGAAAGCCCCGGGCUCAACCUGGGAAUGGCCGUUGAAACUGGCGAGCUGGAGUGUGGCAGAGGGGGGUGGAAUUCCGCGUGUAGCAGUGAAAUGCGUAGAGAUGCGGAGGAACACCGAUGGCGAAGGCAGCCCCCUGGGCUGACACUGACGCUCAGGCACGAAAGCGUGGGGAGCAAACAGG